RNAcentral lists this ribosomal RNA (791 nucleotides) under uncultured fungus. RNAcentral describes it as "eukaryotic LSU rRNA". The stretch from base 1 to 241 matches the Rfam family "Eukaryotic small subunit ribosomal RNA", at positions 1593 to 1831 of the family's 1831-position model. Lineage: Eukaryota; Fungi. The record is from RNAcentral.
UUGCUCUUCAACGAGGAAUGCCUAGUAAGCGCGUGUCAUCAGCACGCGUUGAUUACGUCCCUGCCCUUUGUACACACCGCCCGUCGCUACUACCGAUUGAAUGGCUCAGUGAGGCCUUCGGACUGGCUCGAGGAGGUUGGCAACGACCACCUCGAGCCGGAAAGUUCGUCAAACUCGGUCAUUUAGAGGAAGUAAAAGUCGUAACAAGGUUUCCGUAGGUGAACCUGCGGAAGGAUCAUUACCUGGCCUUGGGCCGCUCGCGGGGGCUCGUCGCUUGCGACGGUGCUCUCAGGGGUGCUUAGCCCUUGAUCAUCACCUUGACUAUACGCACCUUUGUUGUUCCCUCGGCAGCUCGCUGCCGCCAGGGACCCCAAAACCCUUUUGCAUCAGCAUCAAACUUCUGAAAACCAAUUUAAUUAUUUACAACUUUCAACAAUGGAUCUCUUGGUUCUGGCAUCGAUGAAGAACGCAGCGAAAUGCGAUAAGUAGUGUGAAUUGCAGAAUUCAGUGAAUCAUCGAAUCUUUGAACGCACAUUGCGCCCCUUGGUAUUCCAUGGGGCAUGCCUGUUCGAGCGUCAUUUACACCCUCAAGCUCUGCUUGGUGUUGGGCGUCUGUCCCGCUUCGCGCGCGGACUCGCCCCAAACGUAUUGGCAGCGGUUUUGCCAGCUUCUCGCGCAGCACAUUGCGCUUCUCGAGGCUCCGGCGGAUCGGCGUCCAUCAAGACUCCACAGUUUGACCUCGGAUCAGGUAGGGAUACCCGCUGAACUUAAGCAUAUCAAUAAGCGGAGGA